GAUGAAGAACGUAGCGAAAUGGGAUACUUGGUGUGAAUUGCAGAAUCCCGUGAACCAUCGAGUCUUUGAACGCAAGUUGCGCCCGAAGCCAUUAGGCCGAGGGCACGCCUGCCUGGGCGUCACACGUCGUUGCCCCCCCAUCUACUCCUUCGGGAUUGCGGGGGGCGGAUGAUGGCCUCCCGUGCGCCUCGUCGCGCGGUUGGCCUAAAUGCCAAGUCCUCGGCGACGCACGCCACGACAAUCGGUGGUUGCGAAACCUCGGUUGCCUGUCGUGUGCGGUCGUCGCGCAUCGAGGGCUCGAAAAAAUUGCCGGGCUUCGGCUCGACUUUCAACGCGACCCCAGGUCAGGUGGGGUUACCCGCUGAAUUUAAGCAUAUCAAUAAGCGGAGGA
This 391-nucleotide unclassified non-coding RNA is filed under the name soil metagenome. Its description in RNAcentral is "partial contains 5.8S ribosomal RNA, internal transcribed spacer 2, and large subunit ribosomal RNA". The stretch from base 1 to 122 matches the Rfam family "5.8S ribosomal RNA", at positions 35 to 154 of the family's 154-position model. The record is from RNAcentral.